AGAGGGUGGUUGGGGGAUGGUUUGGUCCUGUGUCUAUUGAGUGUUCAGAUAAUUUCGGCCAUAGGCCACAAACGCGGCUCCGAUUAGCGGUUGUUUAUCGUAUCCAAAUGACGGUUGGAGUUUGUUUGUUUCAGUAGCGUCCGAAGGCUGUGAUUGUGUUCUGUGUUGUCGAGUGAUUGGAAAUUCAGUGGUUUUUGGCAUCAACAUCGACAUUCCUCAGGGCCUGGAAGUAGCUAAGGGUUACGUCGUCUUCUGGGGGUUCUUUCAACUGUUAAAAAGUCCAUGAGGAGGUCGUCAAGACGAGGUUUAUGGUCUGCGAGGAAACAAGACGGCGGAGGGACGCUCGAUGACGUCAGACCUUCCCUGAUCUCGAACAGACAGCGAAUGACGUCACGACGUCUCAUCAUAUCGGGGAAAUGAUGGAAAUCCCCUUGGUUCGACUCCUCCUGACCAACCACCGCUCACAUCUGACUCCUUCAGGCCUGUUGUAAGUUUUACACACACACACACACCGCCCUCCCCCACCCCCCAUUUUUUUUUUUUACUACGAUGAAAUUGUCGUUAGCCAAAGCCCUUGCCUUCCUCUGAGGGCUUGGUACCGCCAUUGGUGCAUCAUGCCCCUUACGCCCAGACUAUAUUGUUGGAACAGAACAUAUUCCAGGGAAUUCAUCUAAAGAGACAAUAUUCCAGUCGACAGGAGACGUUUUUCAACUUUCUUUAAAAGAUAAACAUCUAACUAACGCGUUUAUGUGUGUGUGUGUUUGAGACCGCGCGCACGUAGUUUACAUUCCUCCAUGGCCACAGCUUCAAAGCACAAACAAGACUGCAGAGCUCCUCAACAUUUGCAAAGUAUUAGCAUAUAACCUGGAAGCUGGAUUCCAGGAUCCAAUAAUGCUGGAGCCUUCAACGGCGAAGAAGAACAAACAUCAGCAGAGACGCAGCCACAAGACGCUGAUCCUGCACUCUGACGACCCUCCUAUGUCGGUAUCAAAUACAAUGAGUUUCUAAUUCAAUGAAAUUUCAGGCUAAAAAGCCAAGCGCUGGGAAACACACUCGGCCACUCACCGCUUCAGAUAGUGAAAGGAGGGAGUUGGAGAGGUUGGACAGCAGGAUAAAGAGCUCAAGAAAAUAGAGGAGAUGAAGUCCAAAAAUCUAAAACCUGGGAGAAAAUCACACAGUUGUAUUAAGGAGGGAUAGUUAAAGAGGUUGGACAGUAAGACUGAAGGAAGGAAGCGGGAAUGGCGAAAAGUAAAAGGCUAAAAAGUGGAUAACUAAGCUAAUGACACAACCAACAAUGUAUUAGCAAGAUCACUCAUUGCUGACCAGAUUCAGGUAAAAAAAUGGUACUAGGAUUCUGAAAUUUUUGUUGAUUUAGACAAUUUCAGAAGAAUAUAAGUCGAAAAAAAGGAAGUUUGUAAUUGGUAGUAAAUAUUAUAUGUAAUAAACAAAAACAUUUCUUACGAAAAUACUCGCUAAUAAAACUACAAAAGCAUAUACAGACUUCAUUCAUUACAACAUUAUGUAGAGUUCAAAGUCAAGCACUGACAUAUAACCAUUCCCAAAGCACCUGCCUCAUCCAUAAGAUAUUCUGGUUCACUUCCUCUGGGAAAGAGCCACGAAAUCCUCGGAGGCUCUCCUCCGAAGAUAAAAUAGCGGAAGGUGUUGAAUAAAGAGGUCAUUAUAACCCUUCUUGGGCCAUUGAGGACCACCACGAGGCCUUCAGCAGAUCAGAGGGUCGAGGAGGGAGGAAAAACACAGCAAAACAAGAGGCGGUGGUGUAGGAGGAGAUUCGCAAAUAGAACAACUUUCAAAUAACAGACGAAAUAAGCAUAGAUCUACUAAACACAUGGGCGUACUUUGGAAAGCAUCUAUCAGAGGUGAAAGAAAAAUUUCAAAUUACUCCUAUCGUCCCAAUAUUCUAGAAGCAGACAUUAGCUUGACUCUGCAGGCAGACCCUAGACCUAGUGUUCUUUGUUGUUAUAAAUUUUAGUCAGCGACUAGAUAAGUGGAUGAAGCACUGGUUAGGGCUGCCACACAGUCCACGACUUGUAUUCAACAUGUUUGUGAUGUGAGAGUAACAAUUUACAGAUGUAUGCUUAUGACAUGUUUUACUGCAGUGUGGAAAUACACUAGGAAAUACACUAAGUCCAUAUAGAAACUGUCAAUCCAUCUUUUAAAGGACCCACCUCUCCUUUUCCAGAACUAACUCCUUUUCCACGACCCACCCCUCUUUACCAGGACUAAACCAUCCUCGUAGAGGACCUAAAUCUCCUUUCACAAGACCAACCUUUCCUUUUCCAGAACCAACCCCUUCUUUUCAAGGACACACCCCCUUCCUUUCCAAGACACACCCUUCCUUUAUCCAAGACACGCCCCUCCAUUUCCAGGACAGACUCCUCCUCCUUCCGGACCAAUCGUUUCUUUUCCAGGACCUCCCCUCCCUUUCCACGUACACUCCCCUAUUCCAAGAUUAACCUCUUCUUUUCCAGGACCCAUCCCUCCGUUACUAAAACCCACCACUCCUUUUAGAGGACGCACCUUUUCCAUAAUGCACCCCUCCUUGUCCAGUACCCAGCCUCAUUUUUUAGAACGCAGCUCUUCUCUUCCAAGACCCACCGUUCCUUUCCCAUGACCUACCCACCCAUUUGAAUUACAUAUCCAACCUUUUUCAGGACCUACUCCGUCUUUCCCAGGAUAUACCCCUCCUUUUCCAAGACCAUCCCUUCCUUUUCCUGAGCCCAGCCCUCUUUUUUCAGGGCCCACUCUUUCUUUUCCAGGACAAACUCAUCCUAUUUCAGAAUCCCACUCCACCCCAGACUCCAUAAAACUGCUUCCUUGCGCAAUUCAUAACAGUCUUCCACUCGGAGGCUGAGACCGUCCCUUCCACAUGGCUGCUAUAUCGGACGAAGCUGCUCUUCUGGGUGCCUCGUUGUUGUCAGCAAUAAAACCCUACCCCUCAUCUGGAACUGCUGACAGUAUGUCCACCGCCUUCCAUAUUGGAUUUUAUUAAACCCCCUCUCCCUCCUCGCUCUCUCCUACCAUUCCCUUCCUAACCCACAUUCCC
Long non-coding RNA from Macrobrachium nipponense, 3064 nucleotides. RefSeq lists it as uncharacterized. The record is from RefSeq and is a predicted model, not a curated record. Lineage: Eukaryota; Metazoa; Arthropoda; Malacostraca; Decapoda; Palaemonidae. The transcript is spliced from 3 exons.